This 93-nucleotide transfer RNA is filed under the name Tepidimonas fonticaldi. RNAcentral describes it as "tRNA-Ser". It matches the Rfam family "tRNA". From Rfam's summary of the family: Transfer RNA (tRNA) molecules are approximately 80 nucleotides in length. Lineage: Bacteria; Pseudomonadati; Pseudomonadota; Betaproteobacteria; Burkholderiales. RNAcentral also lists the same sequence under 1 other name. The record is from RNAcentral.
GGAGAGAUGGCAGAGUGGUCGAAUGCGCCGGACUCGAAAUCCGGUAUACGGGUAUCCCCCGUAUCGAGGGUUCGAAUCCCUCUCUCUCCGCCA